This 254-nucleotide ribosomal RNA is filed under the name uncultured bacterium. RNAcentral's name for it is "partial 16S ribosomal RNA". It matches the Rfam family "Bacterial small subunit ribosomal RNA", at positions 524 to 776 of the family's 1533-position model. The record is from RNAcentral.
UACGUAGGUGGCGAGCGUUGUCCGGAUUUACUGGGCGUAAAGGGCGUGCAGGCGGUUUGUUAAGUGCAGGGUGAAAGCUCCCGGCUCAACUGGGAGAGGUCCUUGCAUACUGGCGAACUCGAGGGAGGCAGAGGAAAGUGGAAUUCCCGGUGUAGUGGUGAUAUGCGUAGAUAUCGGGAGGAACACCUGUGGCGAAGGCGGCUUUCUGGGCCUUACCUGACGCUGAGACGCGAAAGCGUGGGGGAGCGAACCGG